Micropterus salmoides (largemouth bass) is the source of this 469-nucleotide long non-coding RNA. RefSeq lists it as uncharacterized. The transcript is spliced from 4 exons. The record is from RefSeq and is a predicted model, not a curated record. NCBI's taxonomy places the organism in Eukaryota, Metazoa, Chordata, Actinopteri, Centrarchiformes, Centrarchidae.
AAAAACGGUCUGGUUUUAGCAGACAGAGUUCGUGAGUUCGUUUUCGAAACAGGAAGCUAUUUUUAUCAGCCGGAGCCAAGAGUUUAAAUAAUAAUCUGGUUGUACCAGAAGUAAGGGCCCCCAACCCGACAUGCAGAGCAGCACUCGUGUGUUUGUUUGUUUCUUUUUUUUUUUUUUUCUUCUUCUAUAAGUACCCUACCAGAAAUCCUGAGGUCUUCACACUAGUGACCUGAAACCAGAGCGAUGACCCUUCAAAGAGAACACGUUUUUGACUUGAUCGACAAUGGGCUUCAUUCAACCGAAUAUCAACUUGAAGAUUUGUACUCAGGCGAGGAAAUAGGUUCUACAAGGGAGAAUGGCAUUCCAUCAGCGCAGGUUGUAGAUCUCACAGGAGAAGUCGAUGGUGCGAGCGAUUGUGAACGGUACUUUAUGCAGGGUCUCUCCCCUACCUUUUACGAGGAGAACGGUC